GGGGGUGUACCGGCUUCGACGGGUCGGCGCGGAUUGGGGGAAGCAAGCGGCAGGGUCGGCUGCCUUAAAAACGUAAAUCAAUUUAAACGCUAACAACAAUCAAAAAGCGGUAAGCGCUCCCGCGCUUGCCCUUGCAGCUUAAUCUAUUAGCUGUCGCUCGACGCAAGUCUCUCGCUUGCUUGUAAUCGGGUGUCAAAAAAAGGCGGGGUACGUUCGCGCAACUCGUUUUCGGUCGCGUGAAUGAACGGAGAAAACUCGCGGCAUCGGAUUUUGUUCUUUGCAUCCGUUCCGCUAAACAAAGCAAUUGAACUAAGCUUGUAGAAGACUCGGUUUUAUCCGAUUCGGAAAGGGGUUCAACUCCCCUCACCUCCACCA
RNAcentral lists this transfer-messenger RNA (375 nucleotides) under Clostridiales bacterium. It matches the Rfam family "transfer-messenger RNA". From Rfam's summary of the family: Bacterial tmRNA, also known as 10Sa RNA or SsrA, is named for its dual tRNA and mRNA-like properties. Its role is to liberate the mRNA from a stalled ribosome. The record is from RNAcentral. Lineage: Bacteria; Bacillati; Bacillota; Clostridia; Eubacteriales.